RNAcentral lists this ribosomal RNA (253 nucleotides) under uncultured bacterium. RNAcentral's name for it is "partial 16S ribosomal RNA". It matches the Rfam family "Bacterial small subunit ribosomal RNA", at positions 524 to 776 of the family's 1533-position model. The record is from RNAcentral.
UACGAAGGGGGCUAGCGUUGUUCGGAAUUACUGGGCGUAAAGGGCGCGUAGGCGGUGUGUCAAGUCAGGCGUGAAAGCCCCGGGCUUAACUCGGAACGGUCAGAUGAUACUGUUUUGCUAGAGUGCAGAAGGGGCAAUCGGAAUUCUUGGUGUAGCGGUGAAAUGCGUAGAUAUCAAGAGGAACACCUGAGGUGAAGACGGGUUGCUGGGCUGACACUGACGCUGAGGCGCGAAAGCCAGGGGAGCAAACGGG